Molecule: ribosomal RNA, 439 nt
Filed under: uncultured bacterium
Lineage: Bacteria
Description: partial 16S ribosomal RNA
Rfam family: Bacterial small subunit ribosomal RNA
Source: RNAcentral
CCUACGGUGGCAGAAGUGGGGGAGAGUGCACAAGGGGGGAAACCCGGAGGCAGCGACGCCGCGUGAGUGAAGAAGUAUUUAGGUAUGUAAAGCUCUAUAAGCAGGGAAGAAAAGGACAGUACCGGACCAAGAAGCCCCGGCGAACUACGUGCCAGCAGCCGCGGGAAUACGUAGGGGGCAAGCGUUAUCCGGAUUUACUGGGUGUAAAGGGAGCGUAGACGGUUAUGUAAGUCUGGAGUGAAAGCCCGGGGCCCAAUCCCGGGACUGCUUGGGAAACGGUGUAACUGGAGUACAGGAGGGGCAGGCGGAAUUCCUGUUGUAGCGGUGAAAUGCGUAGAUAUCAGGCGGAACCCCGGCGGCGAAGGCGGCCUGCUGGACUGAAACUGACGUUGAGGCUCGACAGCGUGGGGAGCAAACAGGAUUAGAUACCCUUGUAGUC